Molecule: long non-coding RNA, 1276 nt
Organism: Cydia fagiglandana
Lineage: Eukaryota; Metazoa; Arthropoda; Insecta; Lepidoptera; Tortricidae
Exons: 3
Source: RefSeq, a predicted model, not a curated record
GUGUGCGUGUUGGGUGUGAAGGUGUGGAGUGACCUGAAGAACAAUACGAAGAAAAAGGCUGCUCGGAUAUUCAGAGCUGGAGCAGGAACUGGUGGUGGUCCUGCUUGUACAUUAAAAUUAAGUGACCUAGAGCAGAGGGUGCUGGCUAUAACAGGGACACGGGCAGCUACAGGCAUUGUAGAAAUUCCGGAGGUUGGCCUGGAGGUAGGGUAAUGGGUACUUCAUGCUUAAUAACAAUUUCGGCGGGGUGUGUAGCAUGGCGUCGGGCUCACAAGUAAUUUGAGCAGCGUGUACUAAGGCUGCUCCUAUACGCUUCCAUUUGUUUACUUAACAUGCAAUCCGCACACCCCGCCCCGCUGCACGCCCCACUCGAGCGUCCACUCAGGCCUUACACUUAAGGUGACAGUCCAUUUCCAACCGCAGCUGCACUACUGUUCAUUUUACUAUGGAAACUGACAGUAACAGCGACGCAUUAAGUACCAGUAGUGCAGCUGCAGUCAGAAAUGGAAUGUUACCCUAAGGAUAAAAUAAAAAGUAAGAACUCCCAUACUUAAUCCCCUACACAGAGAAUGCUGUCCUAUGGGAGUUUGUUAUUCUUUAUUUAGGGCCAGUUGCACCAACCACAUUUGACAGACUGAUCAAAGUCAGCCGGCGCGCCCAGGCGCUUUACUAUGAAACUUUCCAUACAUAAAAAUUUAGUGAACUCUUUAACGAUACGAACAGUUUGGUGGAACCGACCCUUAAUCUUACUCUAUGGUCAUACCUAAAUUAAAAUAUUUUACAGGAAGAAGUAACUGAACUGGCUGUACUACCGACACUUGAUAAUGAUGACAGCCCAUCUAUUUUUAUACUACAUGAUGAGUUUGCUCAACAAACUUGUUCCAAUGUUGAAGAUUGGAAUCGGCCAGGGACAUCGGCUCAACCCCCAGUUUUUCCACCCUUACCUGUGGACAGGAAUAACCAAGACUUGGCGGGCAGAGAGGAGCCUGAAAUAGUUAACAGCCCAGACAGGAGUGAGGCCGGCAUGACACAGGCGCAGGAGCCUGCGACUCGGGCCGCGCGGAUGGCUGCUGGAGGCAGGCAGCACGCGCCGCAGAGUCCUACGCCCUUACCACUUACGCCACGGCGGCGGCGAACACGUCCGACGCCAACAUUCUCCUCUCGUACUCGUACCCAGACACAGUCCGAUUUGGCAAGGCAAGCCUUCGUCAGGUCUGACUGUGAAUGGCGAAAUUUCCAAAUGGAGGCAGAGCGGGAGAGGAAUAGGUUAAGAGAA